AUAGCUUGCUAUAAUUGUCAGCUAAGUGGCGCACGGGUGAGUAAUGUAUAGGUAAUAUGCCUCUUACUAAGGGAUAACAAUUGGAAACGAUUGCUAAUACCUUAUACUCCUUAUUAACAGAAGUUAAUAAGGGAAAGAUUUAUUGGUAAGAGAUUAGCCUGUAUUGUAUCAGUUAGUUGGUGGGGUAAUGGCUUACCAAGACUAUGACACAUAACUGGUUUGAGAGGAUGAUCAGUCACACUGGAACUGAGACACGGUCCAGACUCC
RNAcentral lists this ribosomal RNA (267 nucleotides) under uncultured bacterium. RNAcentral's name for it is "partial 16S ribosomal RNA". It matches the Rfam family "Bacterial small subunit ribosomal RNA", at positions 71 to 339 of the family's 1533-position model. The record is from RNAcentral.